GAUGAACGCUGGCGGCGUGCCUAAUACAUGCAAGUCGAGCGAACAGAUAAGGAGCUUGCUCCUUUGACGUUAGCGGCGGACGGGUGAGUAACACGUGGGUAACCUACCUAUAAGACUGGAAUAACUCCGGGAAACCGGGGCUAAUGCCGGAUAACAUUUAAACCCCAAGGGUUUUAAGGGGAAGGAGGGUUUGGCUAUACCUAAUGGAUGAACCCGCGCCGUAUUAGCUAGUUGGUAAGGUAACGGCUUACCAAGGCAACGAUACGUAGCCGACCUGAGAGGGUGAUCGGCCACACUGGAACUGAGACACGGUCCAGACUCCUACGGGAGGCAGCAGUAGGGAAUCUUCCGCAAUGGGCGAAAGCCUGACGGAGCAACGCCGCGUGAGUGAUGAAGGUCUUCGGAUCGUAAAACUCUGUUAUUAGGGAAGAACAAAUGUGUAAGUAACUGUGCACGUCUUGACGGUACCUAAUCAGAAAGCCACGGCUAACUACGUG
Molecule: ribosomal RNA, 497 nt
Filed under: uncultured bacterium
Lineage: Bacteria
Description: partial 16S ribosomal RNA
Rfam family: Bacterial small subunit ribosomal RNA
Source: RNAcentral